CCUACGGGAGGCAGCAGUGGGGAAUCUUAGACAAUGGGGGAAACCCUGAUCUAGCCAUGCCGCGUGAGCGAUGAAGGCCUUAGGGUUGUAAAGCUCUUUCGUGGGGAAGAUAAUGACGGUACCCCAAGAAGAAGCCCCGGCUAACUCCGUGCCAGCAGCCGCGGUAAUACGGAGGGGCUAGCGUUGUUCGGAAUUACUGGGCGUAAAGCGCACGUAGGCGGAUUGGAAAGUCAGAGGUGAAAUCCCAGGGCUCAACCUUGGAACUGCCUUUGAAACUCCCAGUCUUGAGGUUCGAGAGAGGUGAGUGGAAUUCCGAGUGUAGAGGUGAAAUUCGUAGAUAUUCGGAGGAACACCAGUGGCGAAGGCGGCUCACUGGCUCGAUACUGACGCUGAGGUGCGAAAGCGUGGGGAGCAAACAGGAUUAGAUACCCGUGGUAGUCCACGCCGUAAACGAUGAAUGCCAGUCGUCGGCAGNANGCUCGUCGGUGACACACCUACGUAGUA
This 504-nucleotide ribosomal RNA is filed under the name uncultured bacterium. RNAcentral's name for it is "bacterial SSU rRNA". It matches the Rfam family "Bacterial small subunit ribosomal RNA", at positions 338 to 862 of the family's 1533-position model. The record is from RNAcentral.